Molecule: ribosomal RNA, 443 nt
Filed under: uncultured Acidovorax sp.
Lineage: Bacteria; Pseudomonadati; Pseudomonadota; Betaproteobacteria; Burkholderiales; Comamonadaceae
Description: bacterial SSU rRNA
Rfam family: Bacterial small subunit ribosomal RNA
Source: RNAcentral
AUGAUGUGGUUAAUUCGAUGCAACGCGAAAACCUUACCCACCUUUGACAUGUACGGAAUCCUUAGAGAUAGAGGAGUGCUCGAAAGAGAGCCGUAACACAGGUGCUGCAUGGCUGUCGUCAGCUCGUGUCGUGAGAUGUUGGGUUAAGUCCCGCAACGAGCGCAACCCUUGUCAUUAGUUGCUACAUUCAGUUGGGCACUCUAAUGAGACUGCCGGUGACAAACCGGAGGAAGGUGGGGAUGACGUCAAGUCCUCAUGGCCCUUAUAGGUGGGGCUACACACGUCAUACAAUGGAUGGUACAAAGGGUCGCCAACCCGCGAGGGGGAGCCAAUCCCAUAAAGCCAUUCGUAGUCCGGAUCGCAGUCUGCAACUCGACUGCGUGAAGUCGGAAUCGCUAGUAAUCGUGGAUCAGAAUGUCACGGUGAAUACGUUCCCGGGUCUU